GGGCUUGUAGUUUAUAAGAAUAGUCGGCUUCGGAUCGAAAGGUAGGGACACAUCCUCGGGUCUU
This 64-nucleotide transfer RNA is filed under the name Anadara broughtonii. RNAcentral describes it as "Scapharca broughtonii tRNA-Arg". RNAcentral also lists the same sequence under 1 other name. The record is from RNAcentral. Lineage: Eukaryota; Metazoa; Mollusca; Bivalvia; Arcoida; Arcidae.